Long non-coding RNA from Zophobas morio, 735 nucleotides. RefSeq lists it as uncharacterized. Lineage: Eukaryota; Metazoa; Arthropoda; Insecta; Coleoptera; Tenebrionidae. The record is from RefSeq and is a predicted model, not a curated record. The transcript has 3 exons.
AUAAAAUGGUCGUACUGAGAGUAUAUUAGAAAGCCAUUUCCAAACAAGUCAUUUGUAGUAGAAAAUCCACCGAAACACAAUGAUCUUUCACAACAGGCAACCAGUGAUCCGCAUAUAUUUCUCCAUCUUAUUAUUUUACACAAAUUUAGUAUCAAUAUUUGGAGACUGCAACGCUGAAAACCGAUUGUUUGUCAUUAGAAGCGUACCAUCUGGGUUAGUUGUUUCUGCUAGUGAGCUUCCGUACAUCACAAUACAUGUUUACACUGGCGGUGAAGAGCAGUUAUGGAAGUUCGAACGAGGAAGCGAACCUAAUUAUUACCAUAUAAUUAAUAACGCCACAGGGGUUGUGUUAGAUAUUGCAAAUUGUGUCGGCGAUCACUGCGACGUUUUUGGUAACCCAAGGAAUGAUGCAUUGAAACAACAGGAGUGGAUUAUAAAUUCAAACACGAAGAUCGUUAAUGCUGCGGUUGUUCAGAAUUUGGAUAUAACUGAUGGAAACUAUACUUCCGGAGCUCGUCUAGGACUGUGGCACGAUGGUCAACUUCCACAACAAGAAUUUUUUCUACAAGAAAAAUUAUUUUUGGAUGAAAUUAUAAAUAGACUAUCCACAGACUAGAAAAGCGACACAUACUGAAAAACUUAUUGCUGUUAAAUUUAUGUAAAUCUUUCAAUGAUAAUGUUGGUUUUUGUGACAAAACAAAUUUGUAAAAGAAAUAUACACAAAUAAGGCAAAAA